This 540-nucleotide ribosomal RNA is filed under the name Triticum aestivum (bread wheat). RNAcentral's name for it is "partial small subunit ribosomal RNA". Lineage: Eukaryota; Viridiplantae; Streptophyta; Magnoliopsida; Poales; Poaceae. The record is from RNAcentral.
AUGCGGGACACGGCCGCCGGCCCGGAGGGGGACGACCUCAUGGACAUGCUCAAGCUCGCGCUGCAGUGCGUCAAGGUCUCGCCGUCGGCCCGACCCGAGGCGCGGAAGGUGCUGUGGCAGCUCGAGGAUAUCCGACCCAGGCCGGAGGGCGGCCCCGGACCAAGCGAGCAAGGCCAUGUUGCAAGACACCAUGCCGUCCUUGGCGGACAGCUCCGCAGCGUCCGUGUCUUCCACAGUCAGCUUCACCGUGCCGGUGAUCUAGCUCGGCCCAACACGGAGCUUCGUGUGAUUGCCUGCCUCUACACGGAGGACCACGCCGUACCGCUCAUCGACCUCCUCAGGGCCUCUGGCGCGUCCCGCGACUUCCCGUAUCCCUCAUCGUGCUCCACCUCACCGAGCUCCUCGGUCGUGCCGCCUCCAUGCCCAAGGCCCACAAGAAAGUCACCUCUCGUCCAUCACGUCAUCGCCAUCGGACCCAUCGUGAACGCGUUCCGCCACUUCGAGCAGCAAGCGUCGCCGGGGGCGGUGAUGGUCUGUUGA